RNAcentral lists this ribosomal RNA (253 nucleotides) under uncultured bacterium. Its description in RNAcentral is "partial 16S ribosomal RNA". It matches the Rfam family "Bacterial small subunit ribosomal RNA", at positions 524 to 776 of the family's 1533-position model. The record is from RNAcentral.
UACGGAGGGGGCUAGCGUUAUUCGGAAUUACUGGGCGUAAAGCGCACGUAGGCGGGCGGAGAAGUCAGAGGUGAAAUCCCAGGGCUCAACCUUGGAACUGCCUUUGAAACUUUCUGUCUUGAGGUCGUGAGAGGUGAGUGGAAUUCCGAGUGUAGAGGUGAAAUUCGUAGAUAUUCGGAGGAACACCAGUGGCGAAGGCGGCUCACUGGCACGAUACUGACGCUGAGGUGCGAAAGCGUGGGGAGCAAACAGG